Molecule: long non-coding RNA, 954 nt
Filed under: Carica papaya (papaya)
Lineage: Eukaryota; Viridiplantae; Streptophyta; Magnoliopsida; Brassicales; Caricaceae
Description: long non-coding RNA (CPAP_LNC012532)
Source: RNAcentral
CUGAAUUUUUUCCGAGAAACUGAAACGCACUACUGCUACCUGCACGUGUCCCAAAAAAUCCAAAAUUAGACCUAGGGCCCCUUUCAGCCAAUAUCGCAAUUCCGGCACGGCGGCUCCGCCGUGCUCCGGCGACGGCGUCGCCGCAAGCGGCAGCGAUUCGCCUCGGGUUGGCCGUUUUCGGCCGAAUUCGGCCACGCUUGCAUCAGUCCCCGCGAUAGAACAACCCUAGGGCCCUCGGUGGGCCGAAAAAUCACGAAAAACUGAAACUUACCGGCGGUGAUGCUCUCGGGUGCUGUGGCUCCUCCGGCGUGAGUCGCGUUUUGAUGUUUGACUCCGAUCAACCUGUAGAGAGAAGAACGGUGAUCACAGUGGUAUAAAAUUUGCAUUAAUCGGAGGCCGGGAAGGGCCUCAUCGGAGGCAAAAACCGAGGAGGGAUGCAGCGGCGCCGCUGGGUUUCGGUUGGAUUUUUCGGCCGUUUGGCCGGUGGUUUGGCUCCGGUUUGACCAUAGGUGGACUCAGCGUCGAAAAACGAGCAAGGGGGAGAAAAAUUACCUCGAUCGGCGGUUUGAAACUUCCCCGGUGCGGCGGCGGGUGGCGGCGGCCGGCUCCUCCGGCGUUUGGUUCUUCUUCCCCGGUGAGCACUAGCGGCUAGGGUUUCUUUGGUCAGGUGUGGGUGGGGGUAUUUAUACCCUUUGCCUUUUAAUCUUGACCGUCCAUCAAGAUUGAAUCUGGACUGUCUGAUCGCGAUUUAAUUGGGAUUAAAUCUGGGCCGUUCAUCGCGAUGCAAUCUGGACCGUCCGUGCCCGAUUGAAUCUGGGUCGUCCGUGCGCACGUUUGAUAUGGGCCAUCCGUGUGCGCGGGAACGGAUCUGGGCCGUCUAAUCACGCGCAUGCGGAUCGCCCACGUGGCCCGUUCCCUGGUCAGCGUUGCCUUGCCACGCGGCAUGUUCUGGUU